This 423-nucleotide ribosomal RNA is filed under the name uncultured bacterium. RNAcentral describes it as "bacterial SSU rRNA". It matches the Rfam family "Bacterial small subunit ribosomal RNA", at positions 358 to 774 of the family's 1533-position model. The record is from RNAcentral.
GGAAUCUUCCACAAUGGACGCAAGUCUGAUGGAGCAACGCCGCGUGAGUGAAGAAGGUUUUCGGAUCGUAAAACUCUGUUGUUGGAGAAGAACACGUUUGAGAGUAACUGUUCAGACGUUGACGGUAUCCAACCAGAAAGCCACGGCUAACUACGUGCCAGCAGCCGCGGUAAUACGUAGGUGGCAAGCGUUAUCCGGAAUUAUUGGGCGUAAAGAGUGAGCAGGCGGUUGAUUAAGUCUGAGGUUAAAGCGUGGGGCUCAACCCCAUAAAGCCUUGGAAACUGAUCGACUAGAGUACGGGAGAAGUGAAGGGAACUCCAUGUGUAGCGGUGAAAUGCGUAGAUAUAUGGAAGAACACCAGUGGCGAAGGCGCUUCACUAGCCCGAAACUGACGCUCAGUCACGAAAGCGUGGGUAGCAAAUA